AUUGAACGCUGGCGGCAUGCUUUACACAUGCAAGUCGAACGGCAGCGCGGGCUUCGGCCUGGAGGCGUGUGGCGAACUGGUGAGUAAUACAUCGGAACGUGCCCAGUAGUGGGGGCUAGCUCGGCGAAAGCCGGCUUCAUACCGCAUACGACCUGAGGGUGAAAGCGGUGGAUCUUCGGACCUCGCGCUACUGCGGCGAUCGAUGGCAGAUUAGCGAGUCGGUGGGCUAAAGGCCUACCAAGGCGACGAUCUGUAGCUGGUCUGAGAGGACGACCAGCCACACGGGGAGUGAGAGACGGCCCAGACUCCUACGGAAGGCAGCAGUGGGGAAUUUUGGACAAUGGGAGAAAGACUGAGCCAGCAAUGCCGCGUGUGAGAUGAAGGCCUUCGGGUUGUAAAGCACGGCUGGCGGGAACGAAAAGGACUGUGCCAAUACCACGGUACGAUGUCGGUACCCGCAGAGUAAGCACCGGCUAACUACGUG
This 484-nucleotide ribosomal RNA is filed under the name uncultured bacterium. RNAcentral's name for it is "partial 16S ribosomal RNA". It matches the Rfam family "Bacterial small subunit ribosomal RNA", at positions 29 to 507 of the family's 1533-position model. The record is from RNAcentral.